Molecule: long non-coding RNA, 736 nt
Organism: Hippocampus comes (tiger tail seahorse)
Lineage: Eukaryota; Metazoa; Chordata; Actinopteri; Syngnathiformes; Syngnathidae
Exons: 2
Source: RefSeq, a predicted model, not a curated record
CGCGCACACACACACACACACACGCGCGCGCGCACACAUACACGCGCACACACACACGCACACUUGAAGCCACUCGGAUGUGCAUCGGGAAUAUGAAUCCAAGUGUGAUCAACACAAUGUGAAGGACUAUAUUCGCAAUUACGUUGUCAGCAAUCACGCGGGGACAAAUGCGCGUGUGCAGCGACAGGCCGGGUGACUCGAACUUAAGCGGAGAAACCAGAGUUCACCUUUCACCUUCUGACCCGCGCUCAACCUCAGGACAACGAUGACCCGGUCACCGUGCACGAGACUAUUUAUUUCUACUGGGCUGAGCUCAAAGUCGGAGCUGGUUUUCUUUCGUGUUGUUUUUGUUCUCUGCACGAGUCACCUUUGUAACGUGGACCAAAGUGGCUGGAGGCUGGACCCACUUGUAAUACUGUGGAGCAACGCUGACAAAUGUAACUUGUGUAUGAAUAUUUGAUAAUAUUGAAUAUCAGCAACAACAGCAAUACAGCAAACACAACCUUGAGAGCAUCGCUUCCUUUUAUUUUAGUUGUUUCAUGUGCACUCCCUGUAUGGGCACUUGAAAAGAGGACAGCUGAAACAAAUUUAGGAUAAAAUAGGUCAUCAUUUAUUUGGCCAUGAUGUGGUACAUCAAGUCUUUCAAUAACACUUUGUGAACUUAUUUAUUGCCCACCAUUGAAAUGUGUGAUGAUAAAGAACAAGGAUGAUGUGAUUAAAUGACUCCAAACUCUCA